CCGAUGGCGAAGGCAGAUCUCUGGGCCGUAACUGACGCUGAGGAGCGAAAGGGUGGGGAGCAAACAGGCUUAGAUACCCUGGUAGUCCACCCCGUAAACGUUGGGAACUAGUUGUGGGGUCCUUUCCACGGAUUCCGUGACGCAGCUAACGCAUUAAGUUCCCCGCCUGGGGAGUACGGCCGCAAGGCUAAAACUCAAAGGAAUUGACGGGGACCCGCACAAGCGGCGGAGCAUGCGGAUUAAUUCGAUGCAACGCGAAGAACCUUACCAAGGCUUGACAUACACGAGAACGGGCCAGAAAUGGUCAACUCUUUGGACACUCGUG
This 325-nucleotide ribosomal RNA is filed under the name Microbacterium sp. Its description in RNAcentral is "bacterial SSU rRNA". It matches the Rfam family "Bacterial small subunit ribosomal RNA", at positions 709 to 1032 of the family's 1533-position model. The record is from RNAcentral. Lineage: Bacteria; Bacillati; Actinomycetota; Actinomycetes; Micrococcales; Microbacteriaceae.